This 253-nucleotide ribosomal RNA is filed under the name uncultured bacterium. RNAcentral describes it as "partial 16S ribosomal RNA". It matches the Rfam family "Bacterial small subunit ribosomal RNA", at positions 524 to 776 of the family's 1533-position model. The record is from RNAcentral.
UACGGGGGGUGCAAGCGUUAUUCGGAAUCAUUGGGCGUAAAGGGCGCGUAGGCGGUCUCUUAUGUCAGAUGUGAAAUCCCUCGGCUCAACCGAGGAAGUGCAUUUGAAACUGAGAGACUUGAGUAUGGGAGAGGGAAGCGGAAUUCCUGGUGUAGCGGUGAAAUGCGUAGAUAUCAGGAGGAACACCGGUGGCGAAGGCGGCUUCCUGGACCAAUACUGACGCUGAGGCGCGAAGGCGUGGGGAGCAAACAGG